GACGAACGCUGGCGGCGUGCUUAACACAUGCAAGUCGAGCGGUAAGGCCCUUUCGGGGGUACACGAGCGGCGAACGGGUGAGUAACACGUGGGUGACCUGCCCUCAGCUCUGGGAUAAGCCUGGGAAACUGGGUCUAAUACUGGAUAUGACUCCACGGUGCAUGUCGUGGGGUGGAAAGCCUUGUGCGGCUGAGGAUGGGCCCGCGGCCUAUCAGCUUGUUGGUGGGGNGAUGGCCUACCAAGGCGACGACGGGUAGCCGGCCUGAGAGGGCGACCGGCCACACUGGGACUGAGACACGGCCCAGACUCCUACGGGAGGCAGCAGUGGGGAAUCUUGCGCAAUGGGCGAAAGCCUGACGCAGCGACGCCGCGUGAGGGAUGACGGCCUCGG
Molecule: ribosomal RNA, 391 nt
Filed under: uncultured bacterium
Lineage: Bacteria
Description: bacterial SSU rRNA
Rfam family: Bacterial small subunit ribosomal RNA
Source: RNAcentral